GGUUCUGUUCUGUUCAAGUCCUGUGGUUUGGAUGCAGAUCAAUCCAACUAUAGAAGUAGGUGGGACUUUGACUGGAGGAGAACUUAAUUCAUCCAAUCACAGUCCAUAG
Long non-coding RNA from Sphaeramia orbicularis (orbiculate cardinalfish), 109 nucleotides. RefSeq lists it as uncharacterized. The transcript has 3 exons. The record is from RefSeq and is a predicted model, not a curated record. Lineage: Eukaryota; Metazoa; Chordata; Actinopteri; Kurtiformes; Apogonidae.